CGGUAGUACAAAAUGAGGCUCACAUUAUUCAAGUCCUAGUUCCGGUGACAAAUACUAUGGCCAUCUUGGUCAGUGGAUUUCUUUUUAAACAACAGUAUGAGGUACUCGUAGAAGAUAUGUGUUGAAGGAGAAGUGGAUGCGUGAAACAUUACGGAGUGGAGGUCACAAGGUGUGAGUUAAGUCAUUUGACGAUGGCAGCAGCUGUUACACGAUUGGGACUUGGGUUUUGCUGAGACGCACGAAGGAAUGAAUCGUCGUACGACGAUCGUACGUAAAACGUCGUAUGCAGAGCAGUUUCGAAGAAAUAAAGUCCAAUGUGAAGAUGGUGUUAACAUUAUCAGAAGUGCUCAAGCUCCAUUUCUUGGCACCGACGAAGGGAAUGAAGACAAUAGUUGCUCACUAUCAUGGACCUAAAGAUUUCCAUAGUGCAAUUUUAUGAUCUGGGAUGAUGUUGUCAUAGCUAUAGCAUACCAUUGAGACGAGAGCAUACGUUAUGUACCGAGAUUAUGGUUCAACCCGUGCACCCAAGGUUGAAGCUUGGGAACUUCUGGAAUUUGAAUGCAAUGUACAUUUACUACGUCACAAAUGUCAAAUCAAAUUUGAAUCACAGUUCCAAUAACAAUAACAAAAAAAAAAGUUAUGGUUGUAUUUAAGGGCCCAAUUCAAAGCCCAGUUUGACUUGACUAUUGUUUGUCUUGAUAGUGUAGGCAAAAGCAUAUUUUUUUAAGGUUGUUUCAGCGAGAUUUUUUUGCUUUAUGAUUGUCGCAUUUCUUGCUGGUAGAGACUCGUUAGAAAUCACGAAAGCGUGAAGAACGAUCCAAAUUACUACCAUCAUUUUUAAAUAUAAGGUUCUAACUUUGUCCCAAGUCAAAUUUCUUAUAGUGUAACCAAGUUUAUAGACAAAUGUAUUAACAUCUAGAAUAUCAAAUAAAUAUACUACUCUGAUCCAUAUUAAUUGUCUCAAAUUUGCGAUGUAAUAUUUCGACAAGUAAUAUGGAUUAGAGAGAGUAUGAAAGCAUACAUCUUGAUGUGUUUAAUAAAACUAAUUUAGAAUCAGAAAGAUUGGUAAAAACAUUAUAAACUUGGUCAAAAUUUAAGAAGUUUGACUUGGCACAAGGAUAAGACUUCUUACAUUAGGAACACUUUUGGCCAGUGCAGCCAAUGGGCAGUGGUUAAUGUGCACCUGAACCAGCAGUGACACACUGAAGAUGGCUGCUGCUAGGGAUGCGAACACGAUCCCUCACAUGUCCCACUUCAGUCCAAUCUCCAAAUCUUAGGUCAUAAUUUUAAGCCUAUCCGCUUGCAUUCCUAGCUCCAGCAGCAUGGCACAAAGAUGAUGAACCCUAAUACCAGGGACUAGGGCAUCCAGGCAUUCAGAUCAUAACUGGUGGAACUGAGAAAUUCAACCGACUAUCAUCUAUCAAUUUCAUUCAUACCCUAUAUUAUUCCACUCUUAGAACACAUAUAUACAUGUUCAUGGCUGCUUCCAACAGCAUCUGCGCUUGCUUGUUUCUACCGCCUUGCCCUAUCUGUAGCCAAGCUAUUGCAGGUGCCUCUCUUUCAAUUUUCCCAGC
Molecule: long non-coding RNA, 1574 nt
Organism: Brachypodium distachyon (stiff brome)
Lineage: Eukaryota; Viridiplantae; Streptophyta; Magnoliopsida; Poales; Poaceae
Exons: 2
Source: RefSeq, a predicted model, not a curated record